Molecule: long non-coding RNA, 390 nt
Filed under: Homo sapiens (human)
Lineage: Eukaryota; Metazoa; Chordata; Mammalia; Primates; Hominidae
Description: HSALNT0288400
Source: RNAcentral
GUCUUCUCGCUGUGUGGUGGAGAAGGCACAUGGUGGAAGAGAUUGUCUACAGCUCCUUUCAUGCAACAAUGGCAGAAAUGAAUGUUUGCAACAGAGACCAGAAAGGACUAAAAUGUCUGGGCCUUUGCAGAAAAGUCUGUGAAUCUCUGGCGUUGAGUAAUUCUGUAAUAUCAGCUCAUUUCAGCAUACAUCUUAUGAUCAGGAGAGUUUAAUACGGAAGAAGAAUGAUACUAGAUCCAUUUUUGAUGUCACACACACAAAAAAAAACACAAGCCAACAGAACUCAUGGCCAACAUCACUAGAACUCAUGCCUGAAUGAAGCUUCUCUAAUACAUAUGUUAUUUCCAUAAGACACACCAUAGACUUCUUUUGCUUCGGGACACAACACGG